This 478-nucleotide ribosomal RNA is filed under the name uncultured bacterium. RNAcentral describes it as "partial 16S ribosomal RNA". It matches the Rfam family "Bacterial small subunit ribosomal RNA", at positions 28 to 523 of the family's 1533-position model. The record is from RNAcentral.
GACGAACGCUGGCGGCGUGCUUAACACAUGCAAGUCGAACGGUAAGGCCCUUCGGGGUACACGAGUGGCGAACGGGUGAGUAACACGUGGGUGAUCUGCCCUGCACUUCGGGAUAAGCCUGGGAAACUGGGUCUAAUACCGGAUAGGACUCCGGACUGCAUGGUCUGGGGUGGAAAGCUUUUGCGGUGUGGGAUGGGCCCGCGGCCUAUCAGCUUGUUGGUGGGGUGAUGGCCUACCAAGGCGACGACGGGUAGCCGGCCUGAGAGGGUGACCGGCCACACUGGGACUGAGAUACGGCCCAGACUCCUACGGGAGGCAGCAGUGGGGAAUAUUGCACAAUGGGCGCAAGCCUGAUGCAGCGACGCCGCGUGAGGGAUGACGGCCUUCGGGUUGUAAACCUCUUUCAGCAUCGACGAAGCGAAAGUGACGGUAGGUGCAGAAUAAGCACCGGCUAACUACGUGCCAGCCGCCGCGGUAA